RNAcentral lists this long non-coding RNA (1974 nucleotides) under Portunus trituberculatus (swimming crab). RNAcentral's name for it is "uncharacterized LOC123516521, transcript variant X1". Lineage: Eukaryota; Metazoa; Arthropoda; Malacostraca; Decapoda; Portunidae. The record is from RNAcentral.
UGGGUACCAUUAUAAAUAAAAUUGCCUGCUCCACUAAUGGAUGGAAGCUGAACAGCGCUUCCCAUACAUACUCAUCAAAUAUAUCUACAAGUGCUACAGGUCAUAAAAAAAAAAUAAUUGUUGACACUAAAUAAACAGGGAAAGCUUGACAAAAAUCGUACUAGGUAGAAACAAACAAACAAACAAAAAAGAAUGUGGUAAAUAACAUCUACAUCAAAAUAAAAAAGAAUAAUAAAAACGAAAAUUAACGAAGAUAGGCGAUUCGGGACUCCGCCAUAAAAGAAAGACUAAUAAGAAAUUAUACCUUAAGACAAAAUUCCAUUAGAAUAAAAAAAAAAAAAACAGCUGGGAUCGCCAGUCCCCAGUCAGCUAUUCCUUUCUUCUUGUGUGUGAGCUGAUCAUGCUGCUGUUUUUCUUUUCUUCUAUUUAGAAGAGAAACUGGACAAGGGAAACAAAAUUUAUUUAACAAAAAGGUCCACUUAGAUGCCAAUUUCCUCACAGGUUGAAGAGAAAAGUCAAAAGAAUGGGAUAAAGUUCAAGCCAUGGACAAAAAAAAAAAAAAAAAAAAAGUCAUGUGCAGAGAAGCACGGUAGAUGAGAUGACGCGCAGAAUUACCAAUAUCAGAGGAUGCAGUUGGCAUGGAAAUACCGGUAGUAGAUGGCGGUGAGAAAAGGCUAAAGACAAUCAGUCAGAGGAGAGGAGUUGAUAAGAACAACUUUUGGUUCCACUGAAAACAUUUAUGGGUAAGUAAAUAAAUCAAUAAAAAAAAGAGAGCCUCUCAUUGUACCAUUAAGAAGAAUUACGUUGUAAUGGAACAUAGUGUUUCGAAGUUCAGCAUGGAACACUGGUUUGAACGAAGCAAGACACGGCAGACAAAGAGAGACUCGGCGGGGAGUGCUGUGUGUGAGUGGCUGUUACACGACAUAGAGCUGGGCUGUCUGUCUUGUCUUUACUGGCACGACAGGGCACUGCAAGCAGCGGGCGAUUUUUGCCUUAGGCAGGAUUUUUUUACUGGUGAUGGAUGGAGGCCUCAGGUCGGUGGACUGUAACUGAAGACCACGCCGCUUCGGGCUCCUUUUCCCGCCAGUCCCUCUGCGUUUCUCCUGAAUGUCGACAGGGCGCUGUUUGGGACCGAAGCACCUGCUGCCGCAACUCCAGUGACGCCAUCCUCAAGCCAAGGGGACAGCUCUGUGACGUCACGCCACCAUAUUAACAUAGGAAGGAACUCUGAGCCAUGGACAAUGGGCCACUCUGUUCCUGAGGGAGGGGAGGGGAAGAGAGGGGAGGGAAGGAAGAGAGGUUUUGAACUCUCUCUUUCUCUCAGACUUACCUUGCCUCACUCAGCCAUCCAUCGCCUGCCUCUCACAUCCUCUCCACUCUUACACUGUUCACACUCUCACCACAUCUCCUCUCCCGCAUCUUCACGUCGCAUUUAAUUUCACGUUCAAUUAUACAUACAAAUUCUUUUUAAAUUCUUAAGUUUAAAAAUUGUAAGAGUGCUUUACAAGAGUUCGGAAUAAUCUGGAUAUUUAAAAACACAGCAUUGCAGUCGGAGAUCUUGUGCAGCUGUCAGAAAGACAUUGAUAGGGCAAAAGAAAAAGAAAAGGGGGGAAAAAAAUGUUACUUACUUUAUUGCAUUCAUAAGCGACAAAAAUAAGUGUUGGGAAAUUUUCAUCUAUUAAUUUGUGAACACUGCAGCCCUUAAAAGUAUUCCACGAAGGACAGUGAAUCCAUUUAUAGUCUGCAUAUCGUUGAUGACGAAACCAAACACCACCUGUCCACCUGCCACUUGCCACCUGCUCUGCCAGGAAUGUGAGGCAUGUAGUACGUCUUUCAUGUGUGACCGGCAAGGGAUACAAGAGAGAAGGAGGAAGACAACAACAACAACAACAACAACAACAACAACAACAACAACAACAACAACAGCAGCAGCAGUAAUUACUAACAACAAUAAAGAUAAAGAUGAAAAAGGAA